GUGCCAGCAGCCGCGGUAAUACGUAGGGUCCAAGCGUUGUCCGGAUUUAUUGGGCGUAAAGAGCUCGUAGGCGGCUCGGUAAGUCGGAUGUGAAAACUCGGGGCUCAACCCCGAGACGCCAUCCGAUACUGCUGUGGCUUGAGUCUGGUAGGGGAGAUCGGAAUUCCUGGUGUAGCGGUGAAAUGCGCAGAUAUCAGGAGGAACACCGGUGGCGAAGGCGGAUCUCUGGGCCAGUACUGACGCUGAGGAGCGAAAGCGUGGGUAGCAAACAGGAUUAGAUACCCUGGUAGUCC
This 293-nucleotide ribosomal RNA is filed under the name uncultured bacterium. RNAcentral describes it as "partial 16S ribosomal RNA". It matches the Rfam family "Bacterial small subunit ribosomal RNA", at positions 505 to 796 of the family's 1533-position model. The record is from RNAcentral.